GGACUACUGGGGUAUCUAAUCCUGUUCGCUCCCCUAGCUUUCGCACCUGAGCGUCAGUUACCAGCCAGGACACUGCCUUCGCCUUUGGUAUUCCUCCGGAUCUCUACGCAUUUCACCACUCCACCCGGAAUUCUAUGUCCCUCUCUGGUCCUCAAGUCUCCCAGUUUCCACAGACCUUUCACGGUGAAGCCGUGAACUGUCACUGCGGACUUGGCAAACCGCCUGCGUGCCCUUUACGCCCAAUAAAUCCGGACAACGCUCGCCCCCUACGUAUUACCGCGGCUGCUGGCAC
This 292-nucleotide ribosomal RNA is filed under the name uncultured bacterium. RNAcentral describes it as "partial 16S ribosomal RNA". The record is from RNAcentral.